AGUGUAGGCGGAAAGGUAAGUUAGGAGUUAAAUACACGGGCUCAACCCGUGGCCUGCUCUUAAUACUGUCUUUCUUGAGUAUGGGAGAGGGUAAUGGAAUUCCAGGUGUAGCGGUGGAAUGCGUAGAUAUCUGGAAGAACACCAGUUGCGAAGGCGGUUACCUGGCCCAAUACUGACGCUGAGGCUCGAAAGCGUGGGGAGCAAACAGGAUUAGAUACCCUGGUAGUCC
RNAcentral lists this ribosomal RNA (229 nucleotides) under uncultured bacterium. RNAcentral's name for it is "partial 16S ribosomal RNA". It matches the Rfam family "Bacterial small subunit ribosomal RNA", at positions 568 to 796 of the family's 1533-position model. The record is from RNAcentral.